GCAAAGGCGGUUUCAAACAACUAAUCAAACACGUUGGUUUUCUUUCCCUCUCUUCUCAUCUCCCACCUCUCUUUAUCUUCCCUCUCUCUAAUAACCCAACAUCUCGCAUUCAUUCCUUGGGCUUUUAAGGCACCAAAAUACAACCGAAAACGUAACCAAAACAACAAUCAGCCGACAGUGGGCAUCCAAAAAAGCCAACAAGAUCGAUAGACAAGCAAACAACUGCAGGCAACAUGGUCGGAUGCCAUGGUAAAAAAGACAUAUAAGAAUUGCGCUGUGUACGGCCGAAACUCACCGGCAACAUCAACAAAACAACCAUCUCGCUCUGUUCCUCUCUCUGGAAACUUAUAGGUUACAGUGAAAAGUGAAAGAGGAUUUAAGGAUGAAAACCUCGAAGAUCGAGUUCACGUUCGCGAAGAGCGUUGAAGAAGUGAGGGCUUUUCCGUAUCAAAUCGGCUGAAAGUCUCACCAUUUUCAUUUUGAGAAGGAAUUUGGGAAAAUUUGGGUUUGUUAUGGCGGAGAUCUGAGAUAUAGUUAGGGCAAAUUUUGAGAGGGAGUUCAAAAUUUUGGGAGGGAAUUAAUAAUUAGGGGAAAAUUUGAGAGGGAUUUGAAUAAGGAUGGAAAUGGAUCGGGUUCGGGUUGGGUAUUAGUAAUCCCAUAUCCAUACCCGCUAGUAAAAAUGUGUCUCAUACCCGACGCAAUACCCGUCGGGUAUUUGUCGGGUAAUUACCCGUCGGAUAUCGGGUAUACACGUGGAUAUCGGGUAUACCCAUUAAUUUGUUAAAAGAUAUAUGUUGGGGUUUCUAAAAUACAUUUCUUUUACU
RNAcentral lists this long non-coding RNA (824 nucleotides) under Helianthus annuus (common sunflower). RNAcentral's name for it is "sRNA HanXRQr2_Chr13g0609061". The record is from RNAcentral. Lineage: Eukaryota; Viridiplantae; Streptophyta; Magnoliopsida; Asterales; Asteraceae.